Molecule: ribosomal RNA, 245 nt
Filed under: uncultured bacterium
Lineage: Bacteria
Description: partial small subunit ribosomal RNA
Rfam family: Bacterial small subunit ribosomal RNA
Source: RNAcentral
AGAAUCAACGCUGGCGGCGUGCCUAACACAUGCAAGUCGAACUAGAAAGUGGAGCAAUCCAUGAGUAAAGUGGCGCACGGGUGAGUAACACGUGACUAACCUACCCUCGAGUGGGGAAUAACCUCGGGAAACCGGGGCUAACACCGCAUAACAUCUACGGAUCAAAUGCGUAAGCAGCUUGAGGAGGGGGUCGCGGCUGAUUAGCUAGUUGGCGGGGUAAUGGCCCACCAAGGCAGUGAUCAGUA